Molecule: ribosomal RNA, 253 nt
Filed under: uncultured bacterium
Lineage: Bacteria
Description: partial 16S ribosomal RNA
Rfam family: Bacterial small subunit ribosomal RNA
Source: RNAcentral
UACGUAGGGUGCAAGCGUUGUCCGGAAUUAUUGGGCGUAAAGAGCUCGUAGGCGGCUAGUCGCGUCGGCUGUGAAAACCUGGGGCUCAACCCCGGGCCUGCAGCCGAUACGGGCUAGCUAGAAUUCGGUAGGGGAGACUGGAAUUCCUGGUGUAGCGGUGAAAUGCGCAGAUAUCAGGAGGAACACCGGUGGCGAAGGCGCCACUCUGGGCCGAAACUGACGCUGAGACGCGAAAGCGUGGGGAGCGAACAGG